This 433-nucleotide ribosomal RNA is filed under the name uncultured bacterium. RNAcentral's name for it is "partial 16S ribosomal RNA". It matches the Rfam family "Bacterial small subunit ribosomal RNA", at positions 29 to 507 of the family's 1533-position model. The record is from RNAcentral.
AACGAACGCUGGCGGCAUGCCUAACACAUGCAAGUCGAACGAGACCUUCGGGUCUAGUGGCGCACGGGUGCGUACCGCGUGGGAACCUGCCCUUAGGUUCGGAAUAACUCCCCGAAAGGGGUGCUAAUACCGGAUAAUGUCUUCGGACCAAAGAUUUAUCGCCUUUGGAUGGGCCCGCGUUGGAUUAGCUAGUUGGUAGGGUAAAAGCCUACCAAGGCGACGAUCCAUAGCUGGUCUGUGAGGAUGAUCAGCCACACUGGGACUGAGACACGGGCCAGACUCCUACGGGAGGCAGCAGUGGGGAGUAUUGGACAAGGGGCGAAAGCCUGAUCCAGCAAUGCCGCGUGAGUGAUGAAGGCCGUAGGGUUGCAAAGCUCUUUUAGCCGGGAUGAUAAUGACAGUACCGGGAGAAUAAGCUCCGGCUAACUCCGUG